RNAcentral lists this ribosomal RNA (253 nucleotides) under uncultured bacterium. RNAcentral describes it as "partial 16S ribosomal RNA". It matches the Rfam family "Bacterial small subunit ribosomal RNA", at positions 524 to 776 of the family's 1533-position model. The record is from RNAcentral.
UACAGAGGGGGCUAGCGUUGUCCGGAAUCAUUGGGCGUAAAGAGCGUGUAGGCGGUCCGGUAAGUCCGCUGUGAAAGUCGGGGGCUCAACCCUCGAAUGCCGGUGGAUACUGUCGGGCUAGAGUGCGGAAGAGGAGUGUGGAAUUCCUGGUGUAGCGGUGAAAUGCGCAGAUAUCAGGAAGAACACCAAUGGCGAAGGCAGCUCUCUGGGACGGUACUGACACUGAGACGCGAAAGCGUGGGGAGCGAACAGG